Molecule: ribosomal RNA, 125 nt
Filed under: uncultured bacterium
Lineage: Bacteria
Description: partial 16S ribosomal RNA
Rfam family: Bacterial small subunit ribosomal RNA
Source: RNAcentral
GGGGAAUAUUGCGCAAUGGGCGAAAGCCUGACGCAGCCAUACCGCGUGUGUGAAGAAGGGUUUAGGCUCGUAAAGCACUUUAAGUAGGGAGGAAGGUCUGUAACUUAAUACGUGCAGAAUGACGU